This 493-nucleotide ribosomal RNA is filed under the name Veillonella parvula. RNAcentral describes it as "bacterial SSU rRNA". It matches the Rfam family "Bacterial small subunit ribosomal RNA", at positions 28 to 498 of the family's 1533-position model. The record is from RNAcentral. Lineage: Bacteria; Bacillati; Bacillota; Negativicutes; Veillonellales; Veillonellaceae.
GACGAACGCGGCGGCGUGCUUAACACAUGCAAGUCGAACGAAGAGCGAUGGAAGCUUGCUUCUAUCAAUCUUAGUGGCGAACGGGUGAGUAACGCGUAAUCAACCUGCCCUUCAGAGGGGGACAACAGUUGGAAACGACUGCUAAUACCGCAUACGAUCUAAUCUCGGCAUCGAGGAUAGAUGAAAGGUGGCCUCUACAUGUAAGCUAUCACUGAAGGAGGGGAUUGCGUCUGAUUAGCUAGUUGGAGGGGUAACGGCCCACCAAGGCGAUGAUCAGUAGCCGGUCUGAGAGGAUGAACGGCCACAUUGGGACUGAGACACGGCCCAGACUCCUACGGGAGGCAGCAGUGGGGAAUCUUCCGCAAUGGACGAAAGUCUGACGGAGCAACGCCGCGUGAGUGAUGACGGCCUUCGGGUUGUAAAGCUCUGUUAAUCGGGACGAAAGGCCUUCUUGCGAAUAAGUGAAGAAAGGAAUUGACCGGUAACCCGGAAU